Stegodyphus dumicola is the source of this 423-nucleotide long non-coding RNA. The record is from RefSeq and is a predicted model, not a curated record. Lineage: Eukaryota; Metazoa; Arthropoda; Arachnida; Araneae; Eresidae.
AUCAUACAAUUUUCGACUUAUAACUUCGACUUUAAUUUCGACUUUGGGAUUGAAUGCGACUGUAGACGCCAUUUUUAAUAUUGGUCCUCCUGAAGUUGUAUUAUAAAAGGAUAUCUCCGAGUUAAGUUAUUCAUACGUAUUGAAUUCGUGCAUCUCAGAAAUGGAACUUUUGAAACGCAGUCUACUUUUCCUCGCGGCUCUGAUGGUGGCAACUUUGUCUGUCAUCCAGGCUGUUCCUGACCCUGAUCCACAACUCCGCCCUAUCGGCAGAAAAUGAAUACUCCUGACUGUUUGGAUUUGCAGUAUGGAAGACGACCGAAUAUGCCUCUUCUGCAAGAAUAAAAAUGCUUCUACAGAAAUUAAAAAUAACUUCUAAAAGUUUUUUUAAUUUGUUAUUCAAUCUCAUGUUAACGAAAAUUUUUU